GUGAUGUGGCUGUGACAUUCGUUGCUCAGUGCCUGCUGAUUUGGUCUGUCUGGUGGGUGUCCUUUUCCUCCUCUACCUUCCUCGCCCCCACCCCAUCCAGCACUAAGUGGAACAGGAUGAGCUUCCUGUCUAGAGGAGAAUUGUUUUGUUAAAGGUAUGUGAGUAGCUUCUAGUUCUCCAAUGAAAGUCCUUUAAAAAAAUUUUAAGAAGUAUUUCAAAUGUAUAUGUAAUGAGUCCUCAUAUACCAUAAACAAAUUCAUUACUAGUUUGCUAUAUUUAU
RNAcentral lists this small nuclear RNA (280 nucleotides) under Myotis brandtii (Brandt's bat). Its description in RNAcentral is "7SK RNA". It matches the Rfam family "7SK RNA". Rfam says of the family: 7SK was discovered as an abundant small nuclear RNA in the mid-70s but a possible function has only recently been suggested. Two independent studies have found that 7SK RNA binds the CDK9/cyclin T complex (known as elongation factor P-TEFb). The record is from Rfam by way of RNAcentral. Lineage: Eukaryota; Metazoa; Chordata; Mammalia; Chiroptera; Vespertilionidae.